Molecule: ribosomal RNA, 482 nt
Filed under: uncultured bacterium
Lineage: Bacteria
Description: partial 16S ribosomal RNA
Rfam family: Bacterial small subunit ribosomal RNA
Source: RNAcentral
UGAACGCUGGCGGCAUGCUUUACACAUGCAAGUCGAACGGCAGCGCGGGCUUCGGCCUGGCGGCGAGUGGCGAACGGGUGAGUAAUGCAUCGGAACGUGCCCAGUAGUGGGGGAUAGCCCGGCGAAAGCCGGAUUAAUACCGCAUACGACCUGAGGGUGAAAGCGGGGGACCGAAAGGCCUCGCGCUAUUGGAGCGGCCGGUGUCGGAUUAGCUAGUUGGUGGGGUAAAGGCUUACCAAGGCGACGAUCCGUAGCUGGUCUGAGAGGACGACCAGCCACACUGGGACUGAGACACGGCCCAGACUCCUACGGGAGGCAGCAGUGGGGAAUUUUGGACAAUGGGGGCAACCCUGAUCCAGCCAUGCCGCGUGCGGGAAGAAGGCCUUCGGGUUGUAAACCGCUUUUGUUCGGGAAGAAAUCCUCUGGGCUAAUACCCCGGGGGGAUGACGGUACCGGAAGAAUAAGCACCGGCUAACUACGUG